UCAGGGCCAACAAUACCAGCUGUAGUGCUGAAACAAGCACGAUUCCAUCAUUUGUUACCGGUUCCUUUUGCUCGAUAGCAGGCUCUUUUUGUUGGAUGUGGUAUAAUUAUAUGCCGACAGAUAUUGACAGGUGUAUAAUGUAGUAUAUAUUCCUAAUUCCUCCAAUGUCUUAAUAGCAUGAAGAAUGUAGCACUUCAGGUCCUCAUCAAGUAAGGUUUCCAUUUAAGCAUGGUGUCCAUGCAUGCUAUUGUUAACUUUGCUGACAAUGGCAGCUUAGUGAUCACCGUGUUUGUUAAAUUUAAUUUUCACCUCCGUGUAAUGUAUCAUAGUACUAUGCACAAAGAUACUUCAACACUAAAGCUCGCACCUAACUUGCUCGGGUCUCGGCUCAUGAUUCUUUCAACUUUCAUGUAGUGCUGCUGAAAUAUUAUGUAACACUCAAAUUUGAUGAUAUUUUUAAUGGGCACAACUGUGCCGGUAGAGGUUGACAGUUAAUGAAUUUUGUGAUAAUCUUCGGUUAUACUGUUAUAUAUAGCACUUUGCUGGUUAUAUGGUUCACAUUCUCUGAGCCAAUUCACAAUGACCAUUCCUGAUUUGGGCAUUAUGUUUUUAAAUCAUUUUGUAACAUUUUGGUUGAUUUUUUAUGCUGCUCCUUAAUUUUUUUCAUUGACUGGUGUUGAACUAAAUGAGUGUUGCCAUUCACAGGAUGCCCAGUACAACCGAAGAUGGUUUCCCGAUUGUUCCUAGAUAUUUCAGAGCAACUAGAGUGGUCUUACCUGACAAGCUCCAAUGUUGUGCUGAAGUAUUUUGAACAAGCUUGUCCUUUGCCUUAUGCUGGAACAAGGCACCUUCUAUUCCCCAUGGGCACCAAGAAUGCGAAAACAUUGAUGAUUCGAGCAAAUGUAAGUUCAGGCUUCAAGAUUGAGCCGAGCGCCCUACCAGCAGAUCUGGAUAAUGCAUACAAGAAUGAGAAAGCAUAUCAGCGAUUGGAUAUUUCUGGCCCUACAGUUAACCCUUUUGUUUUUUCCUGUACGGCGAGGGCGAGAUAAAAGAUAUGCUUUCUGUUUGUGCUGAGCAUGGAGCUUGGGUAGUGAUAGACACCUUCUCUGGUCUGGAGUUCCACAACAGAGAUGGCUGGAUUUUGCGGAAUGGGUAAUUUUUUUAUUAUAGCAUUUGCUUAUAUGACCUUUCCUUGGUCAAACAUAUUUCACAAGUAAUUUGUUUUCUUCAAAAAGGAGGAUAUUUUCACAAGCCCAAACCGACCACAUAGCACUUUGAAAUGCACUUAUAGGAAGUUGUUGGUUUUGAAAAACAAGAGGGAUCAACAUUUCUCUAAUCUCAUCACGCCAACAAACUGACGAAGACACUCGAGAGCUGUGGUUGGGAUGUCGCCAGGUACCACUGUGGGAUGUCGCCAGGUACCACUGUGACACGCGUACAUCGGCAAAUCGUUCAGGGUGGAUGAUUUUGAAGGCGAGCUCGACGGCUGCAAUAUCAGGGAAGCCCUACUGAACUACUGCAGGUUCAGCUUACCAUGUAGUAUUUUCUUUACAACAAGGCCUCACACGAGCAAAACUGUCAUCUUGUUGUUUAGUUUUGGCCCGGGACUGCAAUUUUUUCCCUUAUUGCAUUCUUUAGUGCAUAAAAUAAAAUAUAUAAUGUGCAUAAAAGCCGAAAACAACCAUUACGAUCAUAGUAGGCGAACUGAAAUUGUAGGGAUAUAAAGCAGUACCUGAACAUACAAAAGCUGGCCACAACUCUGUCUUCAAUUCCAUCUUGUUUCCAGAUUUCAGGAGUAGAUCAUCACCACCAUUACAGAUCAGGCUCUUUGUCAGUGCAAAUAACAGACUAACACCACAAGGACUUCAUUAACCUUAGCCACUUCUUAUGGGUACAUGAGAACUAAAAAAAUUCAUCUGUUAAAAUUUGUUUUUUUGACUUUUUGGACUAAUUCAUGUGCAGAAUUUAUAUUUUCAAUUAGACUGAUUUAUUGUAGUUUUAUCAACGACUAUAGUAUAUUAAGAUGUGGGCACUAUAUCGAAAGUGUUGUUCUACACCCGAGGUCAUGUGAGCUUGGUUGAACAGUAAAAUAAAUAAAAAAUGGAAAAACAAUUCAAAAAAUGUGAUUUCUUUCCGUGUGAGACACUGAAAAAAUGUUUAUUAGCUUGCAAAAUUUCAAUACUAUCUUUCUUGACUGAUUGUUUGUGGUCUGCCAUGAGCCCACGACGUAGCCAUCUGCAUCUGCCUCGCCUUGAGGCCACAGCAGCACCCCUGCCCUUCUGCUCCUGCUGGCGACCGCAACCCUCUGGCGGCAGCAACACCGCUCUCGUGUGCUGGCCUUGCUGUCUCAUCUCCUCUCUCUCUCAUGUUUGGGUAUGAUGUUAGCGUUAUGUGUGUGUGGAUGGAUAUGAUGCUACCAUGGUGUGUGUAAAAAUCUAUUUUUGGUUUAUUUCUCUUUGGAGUAUUGCUGUUGGAGAUGAGCUUAAGAGGCGAAAGAGUAAAGAUCUGGUAAGCUGUUUGUAUUGCUUCAGGAGAAUCUUUUAUCACUGUUUUUGGGACUGUAUUUAUGUCAAAGAGGCAUGUAGGGAGCUGGAACAAAUUUGUUACUUCUCAUGGCCACUUUUUUGAACAUGAUUAUUGAGCUUGACUAUGCGGAGGUAGGAAAAAAUAUCAGCGUAAUGGGUUUGAGAGA
Triticum dicoccoides is the source of this 2692-nucleotide long non-coding RNA. RefSeq lists it as uncharacterized. Lineage: Eukaryota; Viridiplantae; Streptophyta; Magnoliopsida; Poales; Poaceae. The record is from RefSeq and is a predicted model, not a curated record. The transcript is spliced from 2 exons.